This is a long non-coding RNA of Manis pentadactyla (Chinese pangolin), 7536 nucleotides long. RefSeq lists it as uncharacterized. The record is from RefSeq and is a predicted model, not a curated record. NCBI's taxonomy places the organism in Eukaryota, Metazoa, Chordata, Mammalia, Pholidota, Manidae. The transcript has 3 exons.
ACAGUUUUAAGAAUGAUUUGGAGAAUCAAGAGGAAAAAGGGACUCUUACAAGUGAAUUCAGAGUAUUAUUUUGCCCCAAAUCCUAUUUAACAUAGAUGAAAAUUUGGGUUUAUCAUAGAUCAUGAUUAUACAUUAGCUCUUUGAAGUUGUAAUGUUGAGAUGUUCUUUGAACAUCUAUUUUGAAGUUCUAACUAGAGAUCUUAGAAUAAAACUCCCCCUGGUGAAAUGUAAAAUGUGAAGAGGUGAAAGAAAAGUCAGACUGGAAGGAAAAAGAAUCUUUCCCAACCAUAACCAGGCCAUGCAAAUAGAAGUCAGAUGGGAGAAGAAACAGAAGCAGAAAUGGCUUUGUAAUUCACGGAGCAUGAAGCUCUUUGAGAGUGCCAGCCAUAGGGAGCCACCGAGGUGGGAAGUCUCUCUGUUUUGGGAACACAAGCUGGAAUUUCAAAGAUAUGAAGACACAGGCCUUUCUCUGAAAGUGGUGGACUGUGAUGUCCUUUAGAGGGAACAUCCAGAGCUGAGUACGUACUCAUGCUAAGGAAAGUUAUUCUGUCAAUCUAGAAAGGUCUAGAGACCUUUGAAAACAAUAGGAAGCAGAAAAGGCAUACACUUCAGCAUCUGAGAGGCCUGUGUUGGUACUUUGUAAAUCACUUAAUCCCUCUGCGCCCAGUUUCUUCAUCUGCAAAUUGGUGAUGAUAAUAGUAGGAUUGUCAUGAACAUUAAAUGAGAUCAUGGGCAUGGGGCACUUGGUGAGGUACCUGGCAAACAGGAGCCAUUUAAUUAAUUGUCAUCAGCACUCACUAUCCAAAUGAUAAAGAACAGUGUAUCUAGGGCUUUUGUUAGGAGAGAUUUCUUAUUACAUUACUCUGUUACUGAGAUCCCUUGUAAAACCCUAAAUUUGCUUUUGCCACUCUUUUCCUAUUGGCAGUUCACUCAGUGUCCCUCCCAUCUCUCUCACACCCUGCUAUUUUGUGCAUUUGGUAAACUUCCAACUGCCAGUAUCUGCCAUUUUCCAGGCCAAGAGCUGUAGAAGACUGCCGGUGCAGGUGGCAGGGAGGAGGUGAGGGCACUUAAUGGCUUCCCACGAGCAGCCCUCGGUCAGUGACUGAUGGGAGUGGGUACACAAAUGCCCAACCUCUCUUGCCUCUUAGGUAGGAUAGUUGUGAUUCCCAGAGUUUCUGUGCGGACUAGACUCUUACCUGGCUACUGCACACUCUUUAAUGUCUGCCUUCUCUUCUCCAUCUCACUUUCUUACUUUCUUAUUGGGUUUCUUUCAUUUCUCAAAUCAGCUGUCAGAACUGGAAUAUUUAUUGCUGAGUUUGAUUCUGGGAGAACCCAAUGAAGUCAUUUUCUUGAGAAAAAAUAGUUGUCAAGUGGCUUUCUACCAAAAGAUGUUUAAUAAUAGAAAAACUAAAGUGUUCUUUAUAUGGUUAACUCAUAUUUCCCUACACACAUUAUUUGGCAACAGUAUUAUUUAAACAGUUAAACAACAUAAAGGUGAUUUGAAAGAAGUAUAAGGACACCACUGAAUUUAUAAUUAAGUGCAUUCAGUUUAAGCAUCUAAGAUUAGGCAUCAGUUUCAUGAAAUGCCAAAGAAAAACAAUCUCAGAUAAAAAGAGUUAAUGAUUUAAGAACAAUAUCAAUUGCAACUAUUAAGUCCUCCUGAAUUCAAGUGUCUGCACACAGUAUUAACUGGUGUCCUUGGAAUACUAGGUCCCGUUGAUAGCUAUUGACCAGGUUUAUGGUAAUGGAAAUGAGUAGAGAAUGGAUAGUCACUCAUAUUCUUUUACUUCUUAGUUACUAAAAACGUACACUAAAAAGUGCUGUUCUCUACUAUGCUCGUUCUCUUAUUUGAGGAAUAAAAGGAGAAAAAAAAUGGAAACAAAGUGUGAGCUCUUUCUUAACAAAAGGCACUUGAUCGAUAUUCUUAAAGACAACUUCAGUGAGGAAGUCAUAACUGCAUAACCUGUAUGAGUAGCUUAAUUUUGGCAAAGGAAGGGAAUGAAUGGGACGGGAAGGCUAAGAGCAUAGGCGGAACCCAUCUAUAAUCAUGGCUCCACAUUUAGUAACUGCUUUAAUUCUUUAUCAUAAAUGUAAAAGCCAGUCCAGAUACAUGCAAUAUUUAUAAUAAAUGUUGAGACCAUGAUAUUAUCAUCAUGAGGCCUGUUUGCAUUCUUUCUCAUGUGGACAAAGCCCAAAUUUCUUGUCUCCCCACAAAAUUAACUUCUCUAUUUCCUGCAUUGGCCACACAUCUGAUUUUGGAGAGCUGUUCCAUCUGUGUAUCAGGUUGGCAUGAGGUGAGACAUGUCCCUCUUUUACUGAUGGUGCCUUACAGUUUGGACAACGUAUCUGAUGUCUUUUUGACUUUGUCUCCUAGGAUGGUUUACAAAUGAUAUCAGUGGUUGUAGCUUCAAAACAGCAGCUUUCAAACUUUUUUUUUCUAGCAAUUUAAUCCUGUUUCCAAAUAGAAUACUUUUUUGAGCUCCAAAGUGUAAUAGAUAACAUGGAAAUACUGAUUCAAUAGUUUAAACUGGUAGCAGACUGCUGUAUGUGCUCAGUAUAGUUCACAAUCAUUAUUCAUGCAGAGACUCCAGGGAGGUAUAGUGGGAAAUUUUACUUCCAAAUUAAAUUGCCAACCACAUCUUAACUACUGCCUGCAUUUUCCAUCAUGAACAUCCAACUCAGACAAGAAGCAGAUGAAAAUUAUAAUAAGUACUGAAAGAUUUAUAAUUCAAUACUAAGACAUUAUCUGUUGGAAAUUAACUUGUUUUUGAACGAUUGGCUGUUAUGUGAUAAGGUUAUGUUCCAGGCAGAUGAGUCUACAUCUUACAUGGUAUGUAAAUGGGAAGGGCACACUACAGUAGAAUGGGGUAACUGGUGUGGGAAACUGAGUUCCCUUAUCAUAUACCGCUUACAGAAAGUACAGUUUACUAAGAGAGGCUCAAAGAAUGCAUCCUUAGCAAAUUAUGCCAGGAGAUUUCAGGCUGGGGGAGUUUAAGGAAUGAAUCGUUUCUAUCCUCCUUGGUACUGCCUGUCUGAGAUCCCAUCUAGCUGCAUGAAACCCAGAGUGAGGUCUCAACUGACACUUUAAUUCAAAACUGUUACCCUGAAAAUUCAGCGUGAUACCCCAGCACGACUGCAAAAUCUUACAUUAACUAACCAGCCUAGUAACCUGGCUCUAAUAAUUCCUUGUUAUGCCACUAGCACCAUCUUGAAACAUUGCUUACAGUUUAUGUAAUAAGACCAAGUAUUGCACAUGUCCAAUAUAGACUAUAUGUAGGCCUUGAUAAAUAUGUGGGACUUCAUUAUACAUCUUUAGAAAUGAGACUAAGCCAGGUAGUCGCCUUUAAAAACAAAAGACCAGGACUAAUCCUUACUCUUACUAACAAGUAACAUAUUUAAAGAAACAUUUAUUUAAAUAACAUGUUUAAAGGACUAAAUCCACAGAUUUGGUAAAAGUAGCUUUAUACUGAGGUUUGCACACAGGAAUUUCUUAGCCAGGUGAUAUCUUGGAAGGGGGUUCACCAAAAUGUGCUAAAAUCUGAUAUAAAACGCAUAUGAGUUAGUGACUCCCAGUGUAUUGCCACAGUGUUCAAAUACUCAUAAAAAUUUUUUUUAAUUUGGACCAAAUUAUUUGUAUGUAACACCUGAAACAACUUACCAGGAUUUUAGGCGUCUAGAAACAUAGCUGGAAAAUAAAUCCUAAAAUGAGAUCCUUGACUUGGAGGAUUUUGAUUAUUGCCAUUUUACAAGGAGAAAAAGCAAAUAAAACAAAAAACAGAAAAAAAAGACUUAGGCAAGAUUACACAGUAACUCGGUGGCAGACUUGGAAAGUGGAGGUCAAGGUUUCUGUGCUGAAGUCCAGGAAUCUAAUUACCUAAAUUUCCAAUAAGUAGAAUAUAGAACCCAAGUUCCUAAAGAGAACUAUAUUAUUUAAUUUGGUGUAAAAUUCAAGUGGGAACUAUUAGUUGCUAAAAAUAUAGCAGUGGGAUUCAAGUUCCUAUUACUUUGACUUUGCUCUUGAAUCCCUGUCUGAUGGCUUGAUAAUGAUAAAAAAUUAAAGCCUAAAGCUAUGCACAGGAAUAGUCAUUAGUUGAUGAGGACAGAACCAAUAGUGGGUAGGAAUUGUAGGCCAUGAAGUCAUCUGUAAUAAUCUUCCUAAUAGUUUUUGGGCCAUGAUGUGCUGAAUAUCAAACACCAGCUGACUCAGUUUGUAGGUUGUAAAGUGUCUGUGGGCAACAAAGUGUCAUUGUUUCUCCCUAAAAUGAUGCUAAAGUACAUUCCCAAUAGAAUAUCAUUUUAAAUGACCACCAUUUAAAGAAAUCCUUUUCCUCCAGAAGUAAUAUUCAGAACAGUCUGCUCUAGAUUGAAGGCUUGGGUGACUUUUUGUGUCCCAUGGGAAAUUUUGAACUUUUCCAUCUGAUCAUCAAGAGGAGUCAGGGGGAGCCUAGCCAGGGUGCUCACUUUGGAAAAACACAAGAAAUUCUGUGUUGUGGAGGAAAAUGUAGGGGUGAGUAUUCACUUAAGCCACUUAGUUUGCCCAUUCAGAAGGUAAGUCCAAAGGAUGGGAAACAAUCUAUAAAUGGAAGACAAAACCCAGAACAGCCAUGAGGACAUGUAAUAUCAGGGAGGCAUGGAUCGUGGAGAGGUCUCUUUUUAUUCUUAUUGAUUUUCAAGUAUGUGGCUUACUAGUUUUGAGGGUGGGUGUGAACAUGUGCUUCGUAUCUGUGCCACCUUCUCAUUUCUUUUUCCUGAAAAUCCCUGGGGUGGGGUGGGGUUAGGGCCAGCCAGGGUUAGUGUGUAUGAGUCAGCAGGGAAGGUUUCAAGAAACAGUUUGACUGAAGACUUUUUAUAAAUAACUAAUAAUUGCAUGAGGAGAUAGGACAUGUUUCAGGCAAUGCUCAUAAAGGAAAUAUUUUAUGUGAAAAAUACGCUAUUUCCAUAACACAUACUUGCACCCACUGGGAGUUACAAAGUACUUUGCAUUUAGCUGGGUUGUGAAGGGGUUUCUACCACUCUGCUUCUGAAAUGACAUCUGUUUUUUUUUUUCAUUUUUCUUUUUGCUGUGAAUACUUAUAGGCUUUGUAGAGUAGACCCGAUGACUUGGAAUAUGCAUCCUCAAUAGAUAAAAAGGUAGUUAAAGUACCUUCCAUUGGAACAAGACCAAGAUGCAUUGUGACUAACCAAAAGUGCUCAUUUUAUUUGAAAGAGGGUGUGGAGUAAAUGGCUCUGAUUCUGGGCCAGGUGUUUGACAACCUGGGCCAGUGGCAGCAAAGGCUGUGGUGUCAGGGCAGAAAGGAUGUGCUGACGAACAUUGUCACUCCUUCUGGUGGCCGUCUUUCUCAUCCUAGAGGGGCCUGGCUUAGAUACAUCCUAGAGGGGCCUGGCAGGUCUAAAAUGAGCAGGAAAGGGACACAAAUUGGGAAAUACUUGAGCCUCAUACUAAAGACUGGGGUGCAGGGACAUCUUUCCCAUCAUUUGUCACAGCCGAAAGGACAGGCAUCUCCCACAAAGUUGUUGAGAUGACAGAUACUUCCUGCAUGGAAGCUCUGCGCUAACUACCUUUCUAGAGAUUCCUUUCAAGCUCAAACUGGGAUUACAGGAGGCAUUCAGCAAAUGAACACUGGCUGGACCAGCUGUUCCAUCUAUAACACGCUGAGGCCCUUCAGAGUGUCUAAAGUCUGGUAUAAUUUGUCUGCACAGGUGCUUCACAUAGAAAGCUAUUAAGUUUUCAUUUAUGCUGGCAUUUCACCAGAGGUAUUCAAGCCUCCCAGAGCUGGAAAAGGUUACAUUCUUAAAUGAUAGGAUACAAAGGAAUUUCAGAUCUUAGGGAGAGAAGCUGGAACUAGUGGGCAAUCGCCCUACUGGUUCAUAAUGUGUCCUUGGUUUCUGAACUCCUUCAGCAUCUUGCCUGCCUCUGCCCUUCUUGAUACUUCUGUGCCAGAUACAGUCGCUGAUUAACCCUCCUUUUCAUUUUUAUGUCAAACAUUUCUAAUGUCUCAGUGAUAAACUCAGCCUGACUGGUGUGCUGCUGACCUUGCACUUGCUUUGAAUUUGCUGGUCAGCUGCAGUUUACUCUUCACGGCUUGCCUGAAGUUAGCAUUAUGUGAUGUGAUGUGAUGAUGUGAGCAAAACAGAUUAGAAAUGGUCCAGAAGAUUAGACCAACAAAACAAUGGAUGACUUCUGUCUCAACCACAUGCAGAUGGAAGAGAGGUGGAUAGGAUAGAUACAUCCUAGAGGGGCCUGGCAGGUCUAAAGUGAGUGGGAAAGGGACACAAAUAGGGAAAUACUCAAGCCUUCAUAUUAAAGACUGGGUUGCAGGGACAUCUUUCAAGUCCUUUUAAUUUGUUUAAGAAAUAAUUUCAUCCUUGCAUCUGAAUAUAUUUGAACACAGGUGCAAGUUAAAUACAGUGGAACCCACUGGGCUCCUGAUGUUAAGGUGGGUGUCCUAUACCUGCCUUGGGAGGUGGCUCCAUAAGAUGAGUUUUUUGAUCCCUUCUUUGUUUCCAUUGGAAUGGAUGUUAGCAUAGUCACUUCGUAUCUUAGGGAACCUCCAGCCUGUCUGCGUUCGGUGACACCCUUCCUCUUCUUUCUCUCCUCCUCCUCAGGACAUACAGAAGAAGGUGGCAAUUCCCUCACCUCCUUUUACCUUUGAUUUUUAAAACACUUGCCAUGUGCUGGCCCUGUGCCCAGCAUGUCACCUUCAUCUCCUUAUUUAAUAUUGCCAAUAGGCAGCCGAGCCUUUGUCAACUACCAUUCUACUUUCUGUCUUUAUGAAUUGGACCACUUCAAGUAUCUCAUGAAGCAAGACAUUCUUCAACAAACUGGAACAAAUAGUUCUAAAAUUCAUAUGGAACCACCAAAGACCCCAAAUAGCCAAAGCAAUCCUGAGAAGGAAGAAUAAAGUGGGGGGAAUCUCGCUCCCCAACUUCAAGCUCUACUACAAAGCCACAGUUAUCAAGACAAUUUGGUACUGGCACAAGAACAGAGCCACAGACCAAUGGAACAGAAUAGAGACUCCAGACAUUAACCCAAACAUAUAUGGUCAAUUAAUAUACAAUAAAGGAUCCAUGGACAUACAAUGGGGAAAUGACAGCCUCUUCAACAGAUGGUGCUGGCAAAACUGCACAGCUACAUGUAAGAGAAUGAAACUGGAUCAUUGUCUAACCCCAUACACAAAAGUAUUCAAAAUGGAUCAAAGACCUGAAUGUAAGUCAUGAAACCAUAAAACUCUUAGGAAAAAACAUAGGCAAAAAUCUCUUGGACAUAAACAUGAGUGACCUCUUCAUGAACAUACCUCCCCGGCAAGGGAAACAAAAGCUAAAAUGAACAAGUGGGACUAUAUCAAGCUGAAAAGUUUCUGUUCAGCAAAGGACACCACCAAUAGAACAAAAAGACAGCCUACAGUAUGGGAGAAUAUAUUCAUAAAUGACAGAUCCAAUAAAGGGUUGACAUCCAAAAUAUAUUAAGAUCUCAUGCACCUCAACAAACAAAAAGCAAAUAAUCCAAUUAAAAAAUGGACAGAGAAGCUGAAUAGA